GCCCAGUGAUCAGCAUUUAACGGCCGCGGUAUACUGACCGUGCAAAGGUAGCAUAAUCAUUAGUCUUACAAAAGAGGGCUGGAAUGAAAGGUUUGACGAAGUAUUGACUGUCUCAUUUUAUUUGUAAUUAAAAUUUAACUUUUUAGUCAAAAGGCUUAAAUGUAAUUGGUAGACGAGAAGACCCUAUAGAGCUUUAUAUUAAUUUUUUGAUUUUUAUUUAGAUAAUUUUUAAUUAUAAAAAUUAAUAUUUUGUUGGGGUGACAGGAAAAUAAAAAUAACUUUUUUAAUUAUAUAACAUUGAUUUAUGAUUAUUUGAUCCAUUAUUAUUGAUUAUUAGAUUAAGUUACCUUAGGGAUAACAGCGUAAUCCUCCUCCAGAGUUCAUAUUUACGGGUAGGGCUUGCGACCUCGAUGUUGGAUUAAGAUAAUAAUUAGGUGUAGCCGCUUAAUUUAUAGGUCUGUUCGACCUUUAAAUUCUUACAUGAUCUGAG
RNAcentral lists this ribosomal RNA (490 nucleotides) under Epitheca princeps. RNAcentral describes it as "partial 16S ribosomal RNA". It matches the Rfam family "Bacterial large subunit ribosomal RNA", at positions 1861 to 2609 of the family's 2925-position model. The record is from RNAcentral. Lineage: Eukaryota; Metazoa; Arthropoda; Insecta; Odonata; Corduliidae.